This 459-nucleotide long non-coding RNA is filed under the name Malus domestica (apple). RNAcentral's name for it is "long non-coding RNA (MDOM_LNC010311)". Lineage: Eukaryota; Viridiplantae; Streptophyta; Magnoliopsida; Rosales; Rosaceae. The record is from RNAcentral.
GUGAAUAUAAGUUCAUAACGAUUAGGUGAAACUCCCUUAUAUUCUAGCGUCAAAUUCAUGCAUGAAAAUUAAGUGUGCACUCUCAACCAACAUACACAAAUCAGUUUUUAUACGAACAGAUAAGUAAAUUGAAUUCACAACUUAUGAAUCACAACUGGAUGUAAUCAAAUCAUAUUGUAAGCAUAAACAUAGUUUCGAAUCACCCCCUAACUAAGAGGGGUUUAGUUCCUCAUGCUCGCAAUUACACAAAGAUAACUUAAAUUAAACAUUGAAAUCAAAGAUAGAAAACACCUAGAAACGCUUCAACAUUCCCAAGGCUUGGGCAUAGGCACGGCACAAGAUGUUCCUUCUCCUUCCUUUCUUGCAAUAGUCACGGCAUAAGAGAUUUAGAACAGGUUUUGGGUGGUUUUUAUGGUGUAGAAUGGAUGAGGAAUGGUAUGGAAAGGUUUAGGGUUGAUG